Molecule: unclassified non-coding RNA, 315 nt
Filed under: uncultured fungus
Lineage: Eukaryota; Fungi
Description: partial contains 5.8S ribosomal RNA, internal transcribed spacer 2, and large subunit ribosomal RNA
Rfam family: 5.8S ribosomal RNA (bases 1-52)
Source: RNAcentral
AACGCACCUUGCGCUCCUUAGUAUUCUGAGGAGCAUGCCUGUUUGAGUGUCAUUAAGUUCUCAACCAUACUAAUUUUAUCUAUUGGUGUGGCUUGGUUAUGGGGGAUAUUUUUUGCAGGCCUAAAAGAAAGGUCUGCUCCCCUGAAAUGCAUUAGUGGUAUCUGGAGCAGAGACAACUAUUGGUGUGAUAACUAUCUAUGCCUUUGGUGAACUGCAUAAACAGAGUAAACUGCUUACAACUUGUGAAACCCUUGUUAGGGACACGUUUUUGACAAAUUUGACCUCAAAUCAGGUAGGACUACCCGCUGAACUUAA